UUCCUGAUGGUCACGAUCCACCUUCAUCAACCGCCACAAUCUUCAUCACAAUUGCAGGUUGGAUCCGACUUAUGGUAUCAUCACAGGUUGACUGUUCAAAGGAUUUCGGCAUCAUGGAAGCAAUUGCACCGACAGAGUCGGGUGAAGGGCGUUAUCAAGUUGUGAUUAUAUCUGCUAAGACUGCGGGGUAUGGGGCGG
Helianthus annuus (common sunflower) is the source of this 198-nucleotide long non-coding RNA. RefSeq lists it as uncharacterized. NCBI's taxonomy places the organism in Eukaryota, Viridiplantae, Streptophyta, Magnoliopsida, Asterales, Asteraceae. The transcript is spliced from 3 exons. The record is from RefSeq and is a predicted model, not a curated record.